Pogoniulus pusillus (Red-fronted tinkerbird) is the source of this 592-nucleotide long non-coding RNA. RefSeq lists it as uncharacterized. The transcript is spliced from 4 exons. NCBI's taxonomy places the organism in Eukaryota, Metazoa, Chordata, Aves, Piciformes, Lybiidae. The record is from RefSeq and is a predicted model, not a curated record.
AAGGUGAUGGUAGAGAAGAUGAAGGAAAAGAGGAUGGGAAGGCGAUGGUAGAGAAGAUGAAGGAAAAGAGGAUGGGAAGGCGAUGGUAGAGAAGAUGAAGGAAAAGAGGAUGGGAAGGCGAUGGUAGAGAAGAUGAAGGAAAAGAGGAUGGGAAGGCUCUGGUAGAGAAGAUGAAGGAAAAGAGGAUGGGAAGGCGAUGGUAGAGAAGAUGAAGGAAAAGAGGAUGGGAAGGCUCUGCUAGAGAAGAUGAAGGAAAAGAGGAUGGGAAGGCUCUGCUAGAGAAGAUGAAGGAAAAGAGGAUGGGAAGGCUCUGCUAGAGAAGAUGAAGGAAAAGCAGACGGAAAGGUGCUGCUAGAGACUGCUCCAACAUUACGCGAUGAUGAGACCGGAAUUUUCUUGGAUUUGAAAGGAGGAGAACACCAUGGGGGUGUGUGUGAGGAUUCAAAGGCAGCUUGCAAGGGAAAUCUUCAUGAGAGACCUGCAGUCCCAUCCCAUCUUCCCUUCCUUUGGAGACUGAGAGGCUUUCUGUUGUGCUUGCUGUUGCAGAAGUCAAGGACAAAAGCAGUUGGUGGAUGGCAGGAUGCUAAAUGGC